GACGAACGCUGGCGGCGUGCUUAACACAUGCAAGUCGAACGGAAAGGCCCUGCCUUUGUGGGGUGCUCGAGUGGCGAACGGGUGAGUAACACGUGAGUAACCUGCCCUUGACUUUGGGAUAACUUCAGGAAACUGGAGAUAAUACGUGAUAGGAGCUCCUGCGGCAGGGUGGGGGUUGGAAAGUUUCGGCGGGUGGGGUUGGACUCGCGGAUUAUCGGCUUGUUGGUGGGGUAGUGGCUUACCAAGGCUUUGACGGAUCGCCGGCCUGAGUGGGUGACCGGCCACAAGGGGACUGAGGUACGGACCAGACUGCGACGGGAGGCAGCAGUGGGGAAUAUUGCACAAUGGGCGGAAGCCUGGUGCAGCAACGCCGCGUGCGGGAUGACGGCCUUCGGGUUGUAAACCGCUUUCGCCUGUGACGAAGCGUGAGUGACGGUAAUGGGUAAAGAAGCACCGGCUAACUACGUG
Molecule: ribosomal RNA, 468 nt
Filed under: uncultured bacterium
Lineage: Bacteria
Description: partial 16S ribosomal RNA
Rfam family: Bacterial small subunit ribosomal RNA
Source: RNAcentral